CAAAGGUCCACUCAGUUUCAAGGGGUGGUAACAUGGACCCCACUUCUCAGUGGAGGAACAUCAAUGUCACAUUAUGAGAAGAACACGUGGGACGGACAUGUAUUGUGCUGCUGUCUUUGGAAAAUACAAUCUGGUACAACUCCCUACUGGUGGGAUCUCACACACAAACGGAGCCCAGUCAGCGAUGACCAGAAAGUUUCCUGCUUUGAAGUAGGCCUUCCCUGGGCUCAAGGAGGAGCUUAAAGACUGAAGGUUCUGGGGACUAGGAUGUGGACAUAUUUUUUGGGAGGGCCACCAUUCAACCCACCACAAUGCCAAUUUUACAGAUGAUGAAACCGAGUAACUUGCUAAAGCAACACAGCUAGUAAUAGCAGAACAGAGAAGGCAAUCCAGGCAGUCUGGCUCUGAAGCCCAUGUUCUUAGCAGAGAAAUGAGGGGACAAGACCAGUUCUGGAGGCUAGAAGUCCAACAUUUGCAGUUGGCAAGCUGGAGACCCAGGAGAGCCAAUGGUACAGUUCCAACCUGAGUCUGAAGAUCUAAGAACUGGCAGAGCUGAUGGUAUGAGUUCCAGUUCAUGUUUGAGUCCAGGGGCAGGAGAAGACCAAUCUCCCAGCUUGAAGACAGUCAGGCAGAGGGAAGGUCUGUAUUAACUAGGAUUCUUUUGGCUGCAAGUGACAGAAACCCAACUCAAACUACUGUAAGCAAGAAGAGGAAUUGAUUGGCUCACCAAGAAAAAUUUGAACAGCCAGAUUAUGUGAAAAGGAGGGGAAUCUGGAUUUCAGGAAGAAGUGGCAACAGG
Molecule: long non-coding RNA, 799 nt
Filed under: Equus caballus (horse)
Lineage: Eukaryota; Metazoa; Chordata; Mammalia; Perissodactyla; Equidae
Description: lncRNA (ENSECAG00000056543.1)
Source: RNAcentral